GCAAGUCGAACGGUAACGACAGGAGCUUGCUCCUAGGCGACGAGUGGCGGACGGGUGAGUAAUACGUAGGGAUCUACCAAAUGGAGAGGGAUAACUUGGGGAAACUCAAGCUAAUACCUCAUAUGCUCUUCGGAGUAAAGCUGGGGACUUUCGGGCCUAGCGCCAUAUGAUGAACCUACGUCAGAUUAGCUAGUUGGUGGGGUAAAGGCCUACCAAGGCGACGAUCUGUAGCUGUUCUGAGAGGAUGAUC
This 250-nucleotide ribosomal RNA is filed under the name uncultured bacterium. RNAcentral's name for it is "partial 16S ribosomal RNA". It matches the Rfam family "Bacterial small subunit ribosomal RNA", at positions 57 to 305 of the family's 1533-position model. The record is from RNAcentral.